RNAcentral lists this ribosomal RNA (232 nucleotides) under uncultured bacterium. RNAcentral's name for it is "partial 16S ribosomal RNA". It matches the Rfam family "Bacterial small subunit ribosomal RNA", at positions 99 to 334 of the family's 1533-position model. The record is from RNAcentral.
CGGACGGGUGAGUAAUGUCUGGGAAACUGCCUGAUGGAGGGGGAUAACUACUGGAAACGGUAGCUAAUACCGCAUAACGUCGCAAGACCAAAGAGGGGGACCUUAGGGCCUCUUGCCAUCGGAUGUGCCCAGAUGGGAUUAGCUAGUAGGUGGGGUAACGGCUCACCUAGGCGACGAUCCCUAGCUGGUCUGAGAGGAUGACCAGCCACACUGGGACUGAGACACGGCCCAG